RNAcentral lists this ribosomal RNA (439 nucleotides) under uncultured bacterium. RNAcentral's name for it is "partial 16S ribosomal RNA". It matches the Rfam family "Bacterial small subunit ribosomal RNA", at positions 338 to 795 of the family's 1533-position model. The record is from RNAcentral.
CCUACGGGAGGCAGCAGUGGGGAAUAUUGCACAAUGGGGGGAACCCUGAUGCAGCGACGCCGCGUGGGUGAGGAAGUACUUCGGUAUGUAAAGCCCUAUCAGCAGGGAAGAAAAUGACGGUACUUGACUAAGAAGCCCCGGCUAACUCCGUGCCAGCAGCCGCGGUAAUACGGGGGAUGCGAGCGUUAUCCGGAUUUAUUGGGUUAAAAGGGUGCGUAGGCGGGAUGCCAAGUCAGCGGUAAAAAUGCGGUGCUCAACGCCGUCGAGCCGUUGAAACUGGCGUUCUUGAGUGGGCGAGAAGUAUGCGGAAUGCGUGGUGUAGCGGUGAAAUGCAUAGAUAUCACGCAGAACUCCGAUUGCGAAGGCAGCAUACCGGCGCCCUACUGACGCUGAGGCACGAAAGCGUGGGUAUCGAACAGGAUUAGAUACCCUUGUAGUC